This 1436-nucleotide ribosomal RNA is filed under the name Rhodocyclaceae bacterium HACH10. Its description in RNAcentral is "bacterial SSU rRNA". It matches the Rfam family "Bacterial small subunit ribosomal RNA". Lineage: Bacteria; Pseudomonadati; Pseudomonadota; Betaproteobacteria; Rhodocyclales; Rhodocyclaceae. The record is from RNAcentral.
AUGCCUUACACAUGCAAGUCGAACGGCAGCAUGGAGAGCUUGCUCUCUGAUGGCGAGUGGCGAACGGGUGAGUAAAGCAUCGGAACGUACCGUGUAGUGGGGGAUAACGUAGCGAAAGUUACGCUAAUACCGCAUACGCACUGAGGUGGAAAGCAGGGGAUCGCAAGACCUUGCGCUAUACGAGCGGCCGAUGUCAGAUUAGCUAGUUGGUAGGGUAAAGGCCUACCAAGGCGACGAUCUGUAGCGGGUCUGAGAGGAUGAUCCGCCACACUGGGACUGAGACACGGCCCAGACUCCUACGGGAGGCAGCAGUGGGGAUUUUUGGACAAUGGGGGAAACCCUGAUCCAGCCAUGCCGCGUGAGUGAAGAAGGCCUUCGGGUUGUAAAGCUCUUUCGGCUGGGAAGAAAUCGCACAGGCUAAUACCCUGUGUGGAUGACGGUACCAGCAUAAGAAGCACCGGCUAACUACGUGCCAGCAGCCGCGGUAAUACGUAGGGUGCGAGCGUUAAUCGGAAUUACUGGGCGUAAAGCGUGCGCAGGCGGUUAGGUAAGUUUGAUGUGAAAUCCCCGGGCUCCAACCUGGGAACUGCAUUGAAGACUGCCUAACUAGAGUACGGCAGAGGGGGGUGGAAUUCCACGUGUAGCAGUGAAAUGCGUAGAGAUGUGGAGGAACACCGAUGGCGAAGGCAGCCCCCUGGGCCGAUACUGACGCUCAUGCACGAAAGCGUGGGGAGCAAACAGGAUUAGAUACCCUGGUAGUCCACGCCCUAAACGAUGUCAACUAGUUGUUGGUAGGGUUAACCUAUUAGUAACGUAGCUAACGCGUGAAGUUGACCGCCUGGGGAGUACGGUCGGCAAGAUUAAAACUCAAAGGAAUUGAACGGGGACCCGCACAAGCGGUGGAUGAUGUGGAUUAAUUCGAUGCACGCGAAAAACCUUACCUAACCCCUUGACAUGUCAGGAAUCCCGAAGAGAUUUGGGAGUGCCGCAAGGAACCUGACACAGGUGCUGCAUGGCUGUCGUCAGCUCGGUCGUGAGAUGUUGGGUUAAGUCCCGCAACGAGCGCAACCCUUGUCAUUAGUUGCCAUCAUUUAGUUGGGCACUCUAAUGAGACUGCCGGUGACAAACCGGAGGAAGGUGGGGAUGACGUCAAGUCCUCAUGGCCCUUAUGGGUAGGGCUUCACACGUCAUACAAUGGUCGGUACAGAGGGUUGCCAAGCCGCGAGGUGGAGCCAAUCCCAGAAAGCCGAUCGUAGUCCGGAUCGUAGUCUGCAACUCGACUACGUGAAGUCGGAAUCGCUAGUAAUCGCGGAUCAGAAUGCCGCGGUGAAUACGUUCCCGGGUCUUGUACACACCGCCCGUCACACCAUGGGAGUGGGUUUCACCAGAAGUAGCUAGCCUAACCGUAAGGAGGGCGGUUACCACGGUGAGAUUCA